Molecule: non-coding RNA, 65 nt
Organism: Danionella cerebrum
Lineage: Eukaryota; Metazoa; Chordata; Actinopteri; Cypriniformes; Danionidae
Source: the annotation of a GenBank genome assembly
GGCUCGUUGGUUAGGGGUUGACUCUUGCAUCGGGUGCGAGACGGGUUCAAAUCCCGGACGAGCCC